GAUGAACGCUGGCGGCGUGCCUAAUACAUGCAAGUCGAGCGAACGGACGAGAAGCUUGCUUCUCUGAUGUUAGCGGCGGACGGGUGAGUAACACGUGGAUAACCUACCUAUAAGACUGGGAUAACUUCGGGAAACCGGAGCUAAUACCGGAUAAUAUUUUGAACCGCAUGGUUCAAAAGUGAAAGACGGUCUUGCUGUCACUUAUAGAUGGAUCCGCGCUGCAUUAGCUAGUUGGUAAGGUAACGGCUUACCAAGGCAACGAUGCAUAGCCGACCUGAGAGGGUGAUCGGCCACACUGGAACUGAGACACGGUCCAGACUCCUACGGGAGGCAGCAGUAGGGAAUCUUCCGCAAUGGGCGAAAGCCUGACGGAGCAACGCCGCGUGAGUGGUGAAGGUCUUCGGAUCGUAAAACUCUGUUACUAGGGAAGAACAUAUGUGUAAGUAACUGUGCACAUCUUGACGGUACCUAAUCAGAAAGCCACGGCUAACUACGUG
This 497-nucleotide ribosomal RNA is filed under the name uncultured bacterium. RNAcentral describes it as "partial 16S ribosomal RNA". It matches the Rfam family "Bacterial small subunit ribosomal RNA", at positions 28 to 507 of the family's 1533-position model. The record is from RNAcentral.